CCGGGGCCCGCAGUGGAGAGAGAGCGAGCGGGGCUUUGGCCGCGGAGCCAGCCCGGCGCGCUCGCCCCUCGCUGUGCAGGUUACUCAUUAUAAACAAUAUCCACGGCCCCCGAGCUGGAGCCGGCGCGAGCCGAGCAGAGCCGAGGUCGGGCCGCGAGGGGAGCCGGCUGAGCGGGCGCCGAGCUCCCGACAUGGCCCGGAACACCCUGUCUCGCGCUUCCGCCGGGUGCACAUAGACGAAUUUGACGAGAACAGAUUUGUGGAGGAGCAGGAGGAGGAGGCGGCGGCGGCGGCGGCGGCGGCGCCAGGCCCGGACCCGAGCGAGGUGGACGGGCUACUGCGGCACAUCACAGGGGACAUGCUUCGGGCAUUCCACGCAGCCUUGCGGAACUCUCCCGUCAACACCAAGAAUCAAGCCCUGAAGGAAAGAGCCCAGGGCGUGGUGCUGAAAGUGCUCACAGACUUCAAGAGCAGUGAGACCGAGCAGGCUGUGCAGUCACUGGGCAGAAACGGCUGACUUGUUAAUGAAGUACAUUUAUAAAGGCUUUGAGAAGCCUACAGAAAAUAGCAGCGCAGUGCUGCUCCAGUGGCAUGAAAAGGCCUUGGCAGGAGGAGGACUAGGCUCCAUUAGAAGACUUCUUACAGCAAGAAAGACUGUUUAAAAAAAAGUAAAAGACUCAUGUUACCUUGAGAAGAAUUCUGGAUGCCCAGGCUGGUGAAGAAGGGAUUGACAAUGGACCAUCUUCCUAGGAACUCCCAACUAAACUAUUUCAGGACAUGUAUCUGCUGAAAUGUAUUUUAUCUUCAAGCUGGAGGGGAAAAUCGUCUGCUUCCUAAAUCCUGUGCAGGAUCUGAUAGUCUAUGCCUUUGUCUCCGAGUACUGCGGAGCUGACAUUUUGUCUACGAGUGGUGGCUGGCAUUGGUCAGGCGCACCUGUGUGCACUGGGGGAGGGAUGGUUUGGGCAGAUGCAGAUCCAAGGGCCGUGGUAAAUGGGAGAGCUUGUGUUUUUGAAGUGGGAAAAACCAAGAGUUUGUACAGACAUCCUGUCUUCCAGAGAAGGAGCAUGCUCUUGGGCUCAUUGUAAAGUGCCUGCUGCAUCAAUAAAGCUCUUGGCUUAUUAGUAUAAAAAAUAAAAUAAAAUAAAUAAACAAUAUCCACCCAACACAAGUAAAGUUUAUUCCUACUUUGAAUGCUGUGAAAAGGCGGCAGAAAAGUCAAAUGGAAGGAAGGUGAAAUACGAGGAAACAGUAUUUUAUGGGUUGCAGUACAUUCUUAAUAAGUACUUAAAAGGUAAAGUAAUAACCAAAGAGAAAAUCCAAGAAGCCAAAGAGGUCUACAAAGAACAUUUCCAUGAUGAUGUUUUUAAUGAAAAGGGAUGGAACUACAUUCUUGAGAAAUGUGAUGGGCAUCUUCCAAUAGAAGUCAAAGCUGUUCCUGAUGGUUCUGUCAUUCCCAGAGGAAAUGUUCUCUUCACAGUGGAAAACACAGAUCCAGAGUGUUACUGGCUUACAAAUUGGAUCGAGACUGUUCUUGUUCAGUCCUGGGAUCCAAUCACAGUGGCCACAAAUUCUAGAGAGCAGAAGAAAAUAUUGGCCAACUGUUUGUUAGAAACUUCUGGUAACUGAGAUGGUCUGGAAUACAAGUUACAUGAUUUUGGCUACAGAGGAGUCUCUUGCCAAGAGACUGCUGGCAUAGGAGCAUCUGCUCAUUUGGUUAACUUCAAAGGAACAGAUACAGUAGCAGGAAUUGCUCUUAUAAAAAAAUAUUAUGGAACGAAAGAUCCUGUUCCAGGCUAUUCUGUUCCAGCAGCAGAACACAGUACCAUAACAGCCUGGGGGAAAGACCAUGAAAAAGAUGCUUUUGAACACACAGUAACACAGUUUUCAUCAGUGCCUGUAUCCGUGGUCAGCGAUAGCUAUGACAUUUGUAAUGUGUGUGAGAAAAUAUGGGGUGAAGAUCUAAGACAUUUAAUAGUAUCCAGAAGUACAGAGGCACCACUAAUAAUCAGACCUGAUUCUGGAAACCCUCUCGACACUGUAUUAAAGGUUUUGGAGAUUUUAGGUAAGAAGUUUCCUGUUACUGAGAACUCAAAGGGCUACAAGUCACUGCCACCUUAUCUCACAGUGAUUCAAGGGGAUGGAGUAGAUAUUAAUACCUUACAAGAGAUUGUAGAAGGCAUGAAACUAAAAAAGUGGAGUAUUGAAAAUGUUUCCUUCGGUUCUGGUGGAGCUUUGCUACAGAGGUUAACAAGAAAUCUCUUGAAUCGUUCCUUCAAGUGUAGUUAUGUUGUAACCAAUGGCCUUGGAAUUGACGUCUUCAAGGACCCAGUUGCUGAUCCCAACAAAAGGUCGAGAAAGGGCCGACUAUCUUUACAUAGGACACCAGCAGGGAAUUUUGUUACACUGGAGGAAGGAAAAGGAGACCUUGAGGAAUAUGGUCAUGAUCUUCUCCAUACUGUCUUCAAGAAUGGCAAGGUGACAAAAAGCUCUUCAUUUGAUGAAGAAAAAAUGCACAGCUGAAUAUUGUACUGGAAGCAGCACCUCAGCAGUCUUUGUUUUAUGACUGUGUGUUGCAUGUGUGUGUGUGUAAUACAUGUUUAUUGUACAGAUGUGUGGGGUUUCUUUGUGUUCUGUGAUACAUUACAGCCAAAUUAUUUGUUGGUUUAUGGACAUACUGCCCUUUCAUUUUUUUUCCCAGUGUUUAAGUGAUCUGAAAUCAGGAAAUGCACUUAACCAUGUAAAAGAUUAGGGCUAAAGUAAGCUUUUUAGGGCCUUUGCCAAUAGGUAGCUAUUCAAUCUGGUAUUGAUCUUUUCACAAAUAACAGAAGUGAGAAACUUUUAUAAUUACUAAUGAUCCCAUAAAACAGAUUUGCAUAAAUUAUCAUGAUUGCUUUAUGUUUAUAUUUAACUUGUAUUUUCGUACAAACAAGAUUAUGUAAGAUAUAUUUACAGUUUCAGUGAUGUAACAGUCUUUCCAACUUUUCAUGAUUUUUAUGAGCACAGACAUUCAAGAAAAUACUUGAAAAUAAAUUACAUUGUCUUUUGUCCAUUAAUCAGCAAAUAAAACAUGGCCUUAACAAA
Callithrix jacchus (white-tufted-ear marmoset) is the source of this 3081-nucleotide RNA transcript. It is a transcript of the gene named actin-related protein 2/3 complex subunit 5-like protein pseudogene, with no coding region annotated. The record is from RefSeq and is a predicted model, not a curated record. NCBI's taxonomy places the organism in Eukaryota, Metazoa, Chordata, Mammalia, Primates, Cebidae.